This 497-nucleotide ribosomal RNA is filed under the name uncultured bacterium. Its description in RNAcentral is "partial 16S ribosomal RNA". It matches the Rfam family "Bacterial small subunit ribosomal RNA", at positions 28 to 507 of the family's 1533-position model. The record is from RNAcentral.
GAUGAACGCUGGCGGCGUGCCUAAUACAUGCAAGUCGAGCGAACGGACGAGAAGCUUGCUUUUCUGAUGUUAGCGGCGGACGGGUGAGUAACACGUGGAUAACCUACCUAUAAGACUGGGAUAGCUUCGGGAAACCGGAGCUAAUACCGGAUAAUAUUUUGAACCGCAUGGUUCAAAAGUGAAAGACGGUCUUGCUGUCACUUAUAGAUGGAUCCGCGCUGCAUUAGCUAGUUGGUAAGGUAACGGCUUACCAAGGCAACGAUGCAUAGCCGACCUGAGAGGGUGAUCGGCCACACUGGAACUGAGACACGGUCCAGACUCCUACGGGAGGCAGCAGUAGGGAAUCUUCCGCAAUGGGCGAAAGCCUGACGGAGCAACGCCGCGUGAGUGAUGAAGGUCUUCGGAUCGUAAAACUCUGUUAUUAGGGAAGAACAUAUGUGUAAGUAACUGUGCACAUCUUGACGGUACCUAAUCAGAAAGCCACGGCUAACUACGUG